This is a long non-coding RNA of Clupea harengus (Atlantic herring), 359 nucleotides long. NCBI's taxonomy places the organism in Eukaryota, Metazoa, Chordata, Actinopteri, Clupeiformes, Clupeidae. The record is from Ensembl.
CGUUCAUUCGCGUGAUAGCAUUCUCUUGGAAUCUGUGCCAUCUUUUUGAGACACUCCUCCCAAACAUGAGAGGGAAGUGGAAAAAGAAGCGCAUGCGUAGGCUGAAGCGCAAAAGGAGAAAGAUGAGGCAGAGGUCCAAGUAAACUGCUUCCCUUCUGCUGCAGCUGGAACCAACCCUCCUAGACCUUCCCACGACCCCUCACCUUUUCCAGAAAUCCAAGCUGAGGCCUUUUGAAGGACUCCUACAUUCCUCAGAAGGAUACGGGCACCCUUGUUGGAUCUCCUGGCUCUUCUAUUUGUGAUGUGAAAGCUUCUCUUGGACAUUCUGGACUUCCGCCAGCUCAGCAAAGUUGCUGUUU